Molecule: long non-coding RNA, 406 nt
Filed under: Capra hircus (goat)
Lineage: Eukaryota; Metazoa; Chordata; Mammalia; Artiodactyla; Bovidae
Description: lncRNA (ENSCHIG00000007194.1)
Source: RNAcentral
AUCAGCAGUUAUUAAAUCCAUUUCCGACUGAGACUACAGCUCGCUCAGGUUCUUCACAGGCCUCCUUCCUGAACUGACCUGAUUCUCCUGCCAUGAAGGUUUUGCUGGAGGUUGAAAAGGGAUUCAGUCCUCCCUGAGUGCUGAGGAAGACCAAAGAGCACGAGCUGUCAAACCGGAAAUCGUGCCAGCAGAAUGCUCAUUGAACACUUGAUGUCAUAUGUCAUCUGACACUGGCUUUUCAUUCAGGUCAUUUCAGGAUAAGCAAGAAGACAUCAAAACACCAGCGAUGAACGUAUCAUGAGAGGACAGAGCGUCAUCAUGCAAAAAGUUACCCAGACUUUAAUGUAAGAAAAAAAAGCCUUCCAUCAAACAGAGGAUAUCUGAUUUGAAAUGAUGUGUCUCUUAU